GAUGAACGCUGGCGGCGUGCCUAAUACAUGCAAGUCGAGCGAAUGGAUUAAGAGCUUGCUCUUAUGAAGUUAGCGGCGGACGGGUGAGUAACACGUGGGUAACCUGCCCAUAAGACUGGGAUAACUCCGGGAAACCGGGGCUAAUACCGGAUAACAUUUUGAACCGCAUGGUUCGAAAUUGAAAGGCGGCUUCGGCUGUCACUUAUGGAUGGACCCGCGUCGCAUUAGCUAGUUGGUGAGGUAACGGCUCACCAAGGCAACGAUGCGUAGCCGAGCUGAGAGGGUGAUCGGCCACACGGGGACUGAGUCACGGCCCAGACGCCUACGGGAGGCAGCAGUAGGGAAUCUUCCGAAAUGGACGAAAGUCUGACGGAGCAACGCCGCGUGAGUGAUGAAGGCUUUCGGGUCGUAAAACUCUGUUGUUAGGGAAGAACAAGUGCUAGUUGAAUAAGCUGGCACCUUGACGGUACCUAACCAGAAAGCCACGGCUAACUACGUGCCAGCCGCCGCCGUAA
RNAcentral lists this ribosomal RNA (515 nucleotides) under uncultured bacterium. Its description in RNAcentral is "partial 16S ribosomal RNA". It matches the Rfam family "Bacterial small subunit ribosomal RNA", at positions 28 to 523 of the family's 1533-position model. The record is from RNAcentral.